UUGGGGUUCUGGUCGAUCGACAGGAGAGGAGCAAGGGGUGAAAACCCUAGCUUUUCAAAAUCCACAAGAAUCAAUAGAAAUCUUAAGGAAAUCGAAAGUAUAAUCAGCAAAUUCUAAGCUCCUACACCUGUUCUUCGAAGUGGCGUGAAGGAAGAAGGUACAAGCACUAAGAAAACGGAAGACACGCAUGAUCGAGGUAAAUCCUCAAUUUAGGCAACUUGGAGAAUCGGAGCGAGCACGUGUUCAUGUUAUGUCAUACCAAGCGCUUCCGCUAGCUUGUUCUAAUGUUUUUGGUCCAAUACUUGUUUAUUUUGCAUAACCUUGUUAGUAGUCAUACUUUUCAAAACUUGUUGUCUUGGUUUUUAGUAGUACCUUGUCGAACGAAUCGUAGAAUUGUAUUUAGUUUGAUUAUGUUUAAAACAGGGGUAUGCUCGUUUUAUGGAUGGGUCAUGCCCAACUUUUGUUAAAUUAAUGCACAUAUGUUAUUGA
Molecule: long non-coding RNA, 489 nt
Organism: Helianthus annuus (common sunflower)
Lineage: Eukaryota; Viridiplantae; Streptophyta; Magnoliopsida; Asterales; Asteraceae
Exons: 3
Source: RefSeq, a predicted model, not a curated record